Molecule: non-coding RNA, 122 nt
Organism: Aspergillus ibericus CBS 121593
Lineage: Eukaryota; Fungi; Ascomycota; Eurotiomycetes; Eurotiales; Aspergillaceae
Source: the annotation of a RefSeq genome assembly
AGUCGCGUGGUCUAAUGGUUAUGAUUUCUCGUUCACAUGAUUAUUAUCCCUCAAGAGAAUCCUCAGUACUUGGUAUGGAGGAGGUUCCGAGAAGGUUCCCGGUUCGAUCCCGGGCGCGACUA